GGGCCACCGUUUGUUGAGUGCAAAUAUGGAUGACUGUUUUUGCCGGCUUCACUGUCGCUUAUAAGGGUUAUCAAAUAUCACUUUGAUUAAAUUAGAGUGCCUCAAAGCAAGUGUGUACUCGAUAUAAUGCAUGGAAUGAUCGAAUAUGUUGUGUCUAUUGUCGUUUUGAACGAUGAAAUGAUUGAAAGGAACCGUUGGGGGCAUUCGUAUUGUUGUGAGAGAGGUGAAAUUCUUAGACCACAGCAAGACGAACUACUGCGAAAGCAUUUGCCAAGAAUGUUUUCAUUGAUCAAGAACGAAAGUUAGAGGUUCGAAGGCGAUCAGAUACCGCCCUAGUUCUAACCAUAAACUAUGCCAACUAGCAAUCUGCUUAUAUAUGUUCUAUGAUUAAGUAGGCGGCCACGGGAAACCAAAGUAGGGUUAUGGGGGAAGUAUGGUUGCAAAGCUGAAACUUAAAGGAAUUGACGGAAGGGCACCACCAGGAGUGGAGCCUGCGGCUUAAUUUGACUCAACACGGGAAAACUUACCUGGUCCUGACACUAGAAGGAUUGACAGAUUGAUAGCUCUUUCUUGAUUUGGUGGAUGGUGGUGCAUGGCCGUUCUUAGUUGGUGGAGUGAUUUGUCUGGUUAAUUCCGAUAACGAACGAGACUCUAGCCUAUUAAAUAACACACAGAAUCUUGUCUUCUGUGGUGUUUCUUAAUGGGAUCAAGUG
This 713-nucleotide ribosomal RNA is filed under the name uncultured eukaryote. RNAcentral describes it as "bacterial SSU rRNA". It matches the Rfam family "Eukaryotic small subunit ribosomal RNA", at positions 675 to 1426 of the family's 1831-position model. The record is from RNAcentral.